GUGGACAUAGUUUAACAAAAACAUUAGCUUGUGAAUCUAAUAACAAGGGUUUUUCCCCCUUUGCCCACC
Molecule: transfer RNA, 69 nt
Filed under: Gehyra marginata
Lineage: Eukaryota; Metazoa; Chordata; Lepidosauria; Squamata; Gekkonidae
Description: tRNA-His
Rfam family: tRNA
About the family: Transfer RNA (tRNA) molecules are approximately 80 nucleotides in length. Their secondary structure includes four short double-helical elements and three loops (D, anti-codon, and T loops).
Source: RNAcentral